CAGUAGCCGCGGGAAUACGAAGGGUGCAAGCGUUAAUCGGAUUUACUGGGCGUAAAGGGCGCGUAGGUGGUUAUUUAAGUGAGAUGUGAAAGCCCCGGGCUUAACCUGGGAACUGCAUCUUAUACUGGGUAACUGGAGUGCAGUAGAGGGUAGUGGAAUUUCCGGUGUAGCGGUGAAAUGCGUAGAGAUCGGGAGGAACAUCAGUGGCGAAGGCGGCCAUCUGGGACAACACUGACGCUGAGGCACGAAAGCGUGGGGAGCAAACAGGAUUAGAUACCCGGGUAGUCCCUGUCUCUUAUAC
RNAcentral lists this ribosomal RNA (301 nucleotides) under uncultured bacterium. Its description in RNAcentral is "partial 16S ribosomal RNA". It matches the Rfam family "Bacterial small subunit ribosomal RNA", at positions 509 to 807 of the family's 1533-position model. The record is from RNAcentral.